UGAGGCCCCAGGUCAGGUGGCAUUACCCGCUGAAUU
This 36-nucleotide ribosomal RNA is filed under the name Rinorea ovata. Its description in RNAcentral is "partial 28S ribosomal RNA". Lineage: Eukaryota; Viridiplantae; Streptophyta; Magnoliopsida; Malpighiales; Violaceae. The record is from RNAcentral.